GCUUAUGGCCAUACCACCCUGUCUGCGUCUGAUCUCGUUUGAUUUUGGAAGCUAAGCAGGGUCGGCCCUGGUUAGUACUUGGAUGGGAGAAAUACCAGGUGCUGUAAGCU
This 110-nucleotide ribosomal RNA is filed under the name Sinocyclocheilus anshuiensis. Lineage: Eukaryota; Metazoa; Chordata; Actinopteri; Cypriniformes; Cyprinidae. The record is from RNAcentral.